This is a non-coding RNA of Nipponia nippon (crested ibis), 1326 nucleotides long. The record is from RefSeq and is a predicted model, not a curated record. NCBI's taxonomy places the organism in Eukaryota, Metazoa, Chordata, Aves, Pelecaniformes, Threskiornithidae.
GCGGCUUCACCCGCUGUGGGGGUGCAGCAUUCAAGCUAGCUAGAUUUGGGGAUUGACUUGUAAUUGCCACGCAGAUACGCCUUUUCUUUCCAGAGGAAAGUGUACGGGACUGAGAUGGCCAGAUUUCUAGUGUCUGCUCUGCCAGAGUUCAAGGAAAUGAUGGGGGGUAACGCAUGACUACAGAAUCAAAACUGUUUUGCUGGAGGGCUUCUCUACUGAUACCAUGUAACCAUGCGGCUCAGUUGGAGAAGUUUGUCGACAUUACGAGAUCAAAAGGGAAUUCAGCCAUAACUUUCACUUUUCUUAGCCAUUUACUCUUAGUAAUGUUUUUAAAUUUUUAAUUUACCAAUGUUUUUAAAAGAAAGAAAUGAACGGUUUAAAUUUUCCCUGUUAAAUGUUGGUGAAAGUAUUACAGCUCUCAUUGACGUCAGUGACAUGAUAUUACCAGUUUGUUCUCUGCCACAUCUUACAGAGGAGUAAACUGGUAAGUAUAUAUUAUAUAUAUUUAUAUAUAAUGUAAAUAUAUUGACUUGUUACAGCUAUAAUAUGUUGAAAUUGGUUUUUAAAAGGUGAUGUAAAUAGUGGUUUCCUUAAUGAAAAAUACAUAUUUUGUAUUGUUCUAAUGCAAAGGAAAAAAAACCUUUUAAUCUUUUUUUGUUAUGUAUAUUCCAUGUAUAAGUGUAAAUAUGAUCACAUAGGUUUAAAAACUUUUGCAUGUAUGUAUACAGUUGCAAGUCUGGAAGAAUGUAUAGAAAAAUACUUUUAUUUAAAGUUGUGAUUACCUGCUGCAUGAAAAGUGCAUGGGGGACCCUGUGCAUCUGUGCGUUGGCAAAAAAAUAAAAUGUCUUAACAAGUCAGGUCAGUUCAAAACACAACAGUAUUCCACUUCUGGACAUGACUUCUGCUGUGGUAUUUUAGCUUUGUGAAAGAAUGUGCUUCAAAUCAAAAGGGUCUGGGGGGAAAAAAAAAAACAAACAAACGCAAAACUACUUUUAAAACAUGAAGUACUCACACAACUAUAAUCAGUCAUGUAAGUUCAGGACUCCAUUUUGCGUAACUGAAAUAUUGUACCAGGACUAUUCCAUCCCUGUAAAACAAAGGAAUAUUGAUUUUCAUUGCCAUACAUAAGAAUUCGGGAUUUUACCACAACCAGUUUUAUUGUGAUGUGUCUUCAGUAAUUUAUCUAACUGGUCUCAUUUUUUUAUUAGAAAUUAAUUUCUUCAUGUGAUGUCACAAAACUGUACAUACUGCAGUGUGAAGUUUUUUUAAAUCUUUCAGUGUUUACUUCCUGCAGAAGAUUUGAAUAAAUGAGAAAAAUGCAUUGUC